GAUGAUGUCAACUCCCUAAGGUUCUAUUUCCUGUAUAAAAAGUGUGCUUAUGUUUAAGAUUUUUUGCUGAAUCUUUUCCUGGUAUUUUCUAAGUCACAACAUCUUCUCUCUCCUUCCUCCUGCUAAAUUAUUCAAGACCUGGAAGCUGAAGUCUUAAAAAUGAAAAUCUCACAUCAAGAGACUAAAGCAAAACUAGAGAGAUGCAAAAAGGAUUAUUCUCAAGAAUAUAGGAAAUGAUCAGCAUGAUGAUUUCAGAGAGGUCAGGGGAGACAUACGUAAACUGAUGCUAAGUGAAAUGAGAAGAAAAAGGCUAUUUUUGUACAUGGCAAAAUUAUAUGAUGAUCAAUUCUCAUGAACGUGACUCUUCACCAAUGGGAUCAUUCAGGUCUGCUGACGAUCUUGGGAUCAUGGGAGCCAUCUACACCCAGAGAGAGGACUGUGGCAACUGAUGAUUUACUACAAGUCCCUUUGUGGCGCCACUUCAUGACUAUGACUAUGAUAAUUAUUUGGGCCUUUCAGAAGGAAAUUCAAAAUAUUUUAUUGGAGAAAGAGACUUCAAUAAACGGCAGAGAAGUCUGCUUUGCAAAGGUAGUCAUUUAGA
RNAcentral lists this long non-coding RNA (601 nucleotides) under Sarcophilus harrisii (Tasmanian devil). RNAcentral describes it as "lncRNA (ENSSHAG00000023035.1)". The record is from RNAcentral. Lineage: Eukaryota; Metazoa; Chordata; Mammalia; Dasyuromorphia; Dasyuridae.